Molecule: ribosomal RNA, 324 nt
Filed under: uncultured eukaryote
Lineage: Eukaryota
Description: partial 18S ribosomal RNA
Rfam family: Eukaryotic small subunit ribosomal RNA
Source: RNAcentral
CCCUUAGAUGUUCUGGGCUGCACGCGCGCUACACUGAUGCGCUCAACGAGUUUACGACCUUGCCCGGAAGGGUUGGGUAAUCUUUUUAAAACGCAUCGUGAUGGGGAUAGAUUAUUGCAAUUAUUAAUCUUUAACGAGGAAUUCCUUGUAAUCGCGAUUCAUCAUAUCGCGCUGAAUACGUCCCUGCCCUUUGUACACACCGCCCGUCGCUCCUACCGAUUGAGCGAUCCGGUGAAUGUUUUGGACUGGCGUCAGAAGCGGUUCGCUCCUGACACUACGAAAUUUUGUAAACCUUAUCGCUUAGAGGAAGGAAAAGUCGUAACA